RNAcentral lists this ribosomal RNA (699 nucleotides) under uncultured Hyphomonas sp. Its description in RNAcentral is "bacterial SSU rRNA". It matches the Rfam family "Bacterial small subunit ribosomal RNA", at positions 94 to 828 of the family's 1533-position model. Lineage: Bacteria; Pseudomonadati; Pseudomonadota; Alphaproteobacteria; Hyphomonadales; Hyphomonadaceae. The record is from RNAcentral.
AGUGGCAGACGGGUGAGUAACGCGUGGGAACGUACCUUUCGCUACGGAAUAGCUCCGGGAAACUGGUGGUAAUACCGUAUACGCCCUCAGGGGGAAAGAUUUAUCGGCGAAAGAUCGGCCCGCGUUGGAUUAGCUAGUUGGUGAGGUAAUGGCUCACAAAGGCGACGAUCCAUAGCUGGUCUGAGAGGAUGAUCAGCCACACUGGGACUGAGACACGGCCCAGACUCCUACGGGAGGCAGCAGUGGGGAAUCUUGCACAAUGGGCGAAAGCCUGAUGCAGCCAUGCCGCGUGAAUGAUGAAGGCCUUAGGGUUGUAAAAUUCUUUCGUCAGGGAUGAUAAUGACCGUACCUGAAGAAGAAGCCCCGGCUAACUUCGUGCCAGCAGCCGCGGUAAUACGAAGGGGGCUAGCGUUGUUCGGAAUUACUGGGCGUAAAGCGCACGUAGGCGGACUUUUAAGUCAGGUGUGAAAUCCCGGGGCUCAACCUCGGAACUGCAUUUGAAACUGGAAGUCUUGAGACCAGGAGAGGUUAGCGGAAUACCGAGUGUAGAGGUGAAAUUCGUAGAUAUUCGGUGGAACACCAGUGGCGAAGGCGGCUAACUGGACUGGUACCGACGCUGAGGUGCGAAAGUGUGGGGAGCAAACAGGAUUAGAUACCCUGGUAGUCCACACCGUAAACGAUGAGAGCUAGUUGUUGGCA